Molecule: ribosomal RNA, 460 nt
Filed under: uncultured bacterium
Lineage: Bacteria
Description: partial 16S ribosomal RNA
Rfam family: Bacterial small subunit ribosomal RNA
Source: RNAcentral
CCUACGGGUGGCAGCAGUGAGGAAUAUUGGUCAAUGGACGAGAGUCUGAACCAGCCAAGUAGCGUGAAGGAUGACUGCCCUAUGGGUUGUAAACUUCUUUUAUAUGGGAAUAAAAUGUUCCACGUGUGGGAUUUUGUAUGUACCUUAUGAAUAAGGAUCGGCUAACUCCGUGCCAGCAGCCGCGGUAAUACGGAGGAUCCGAGCGUUAUCCGGAUUUAUUGGGUUUAAAGGGAGCGUAGGUGGAUUGUUAAGUCAGUUGUGAAAGUUUGCGGCUCAACCGUAAAAUUGCAGUUGAAACUGGCAGUCUUGAGUACAGUAGAGGUGGGCGGAAUUCGUGGUGUAGCGGUGAAAUGCUUAGAUAUCACGAAGAACUCCGAUUGCGAAGGCAGUUCACUGGACUGCAACUGACACUGAGGCUCGAAAGUGUGGGUAUCAAACAGGAUUAGAUACCCGAGUAGUC